UAACUGGGCGAUUAAGUUGCAGGGUAUAGACCCGAAACCCGGUGAUCUAGCCAUGGGCAGGUUGAAGGUUGGGUAACACUAACUGGAGGACCGAACCGACUAAUGUUGAAAAAUUAGCGGAUGACUUGUGGCUGGGGGUGAAAGGCCAAUCAAACCGGGAGAUAGCUGGUUCUCCCCGAAAGCUAUUUAGGUAGCGCCUCGUGAACUCAUCUUCGGGGGUAGAGCACUGUUUCGGCUAGGGGGUCAUCCCGACUUACCAACCCGAUGCAAACUACGAAUACCGAAGAAUGUUAUCACGGGAGACACACGGCGGGUGCUAACGUUCGUCGUGAAGAGGGAAACAACCCAGACCGCCAGCUAAGGUCCCAAAGUCAUGGUUAAGUGGGAAACGAAGUGGGAAGGCUCAGACAGCCAGGAUGUUGGCUUAGAAGCAGCCAUCAUUUAAAGAAAGCGUAAUAGCUCACUGGUCGAGUCGGCCUGCGCGGAAGAUGUAACGGGGCUAAACCAUGCA
This 511-nucleotide ribosomal RNA is filed under the name Providencia stuartii. RNAcentral's name for it is "partial 23S ribosomal RNA". It matches the Rfam family "Bacterial large subunit ribosomal RNA", at positions 685 to 1193 of the family's 2925-position model. Lineage: Bacteria; Pseudomonadati; Pseudomonadota; Gammaproteobacteria; Enterobacterales; Morganellaceae. The record is from RNAcentral.